GAUCAUGAGCACGUAGCCCCCAGACCUUCUGGGGCCUAAGGAUUGAUCACCAUCAACCAGUCAGAACUGUGUGCAGCUGAUCACAGACCCAGAGACGCCCCUCCCUCACGUGGCCUUUAAAGAUGCUCAGAUCCUUCCAAAAGUUCAGGGUCUUUUUGACACGAGCCUCACGUUUUCCUUGCUCGGCCCAGCAGUAGACCUUUCUCUGCUCCCACCUCCCACGUUUCAGUAUUGUUUGGCCUCACUGUGUGUCAGGUACACGGACUUUUGUUCUUAACAAUGUUCUUCUUUUCUAAAGUAAAUCAUCAGAGAGCUUAUAGCAGAAAGAAGAGGUUGAAAGCCCGAGCUGCUGUUGACACAGAGACAGGCUGCCUUUAUGUCUUCCUGGGCUCCACAGAGAGGAGUCCUGACCUCAUUACUGAGCAAGGCGUUUCCGGUGACUCUGGGGGUGUGGGCAGAAUGGGGAGGGCUCUCCAGCCGUGGGCCGGGCCUGCUCACUAAUGACUAGUCUUUGGAGAUGCAUAAGUGAGUGAGGCAAUUAAAACAAACGGGAUUCUGGGAAGAAGAGUGGAGAGGAGAAAUCCAUGAAAAUGCAAGCAAAGGAGUGGCUCAGCCUCGACUGUGGCCUGUGAAGGUGGUGGUCGGGCCCGGGGCUGGGGGUCCCACGUGCCCUGGCACGUGGCCCAAUGCCCACGCCCAGCAUUGCACGGACAGGCAGGCACACAGCUUCAAGCACACCCAUCACACACAUGCGAGUACUUCUUGUACGUCUGUGAGCAGCAUCUAUGCUGAGGGGAAAAAAAAAGGACGCAUAAAGAAGGAUUGUUUUGCUCAGUGUGUACGUGAACUUUGAUGGAACUUAGUAAAACAUGGAGCCUUUAGUACCAUGACGGAUGGCUCUCCUGGGAGUUGUUUCCUGCCCUCCCUGCGGGGCUGGAGCUCAGGGCUGCAGUGACAGCGCUGGGGAAGAAAGGGACGAACAAUAGGUUCUGUGAGUUCCCGGAGCUGGAGCUGCCCUGCCCGAGUGGGAGGUAGGAGAGCAUCCGUCCUCCGCAGCACAUAACUCAGCGGGGGGCGGGGCAGGCUGGUGGCACCUGGAAGUGGCGAGGGGGUAAAGUGAGCGAAUUACGAGAGUGCACUCGAAUCACCCAGCGUGCUGAGGAUUGCUUGUGUCAACAGAUUCCGCCGCCGAGAAGCCACACGCCUGGUCAAUUUCCUGACCAAAUCCAGGACCCGCUCCUCCACACUGGGCAUCACAGGUCACCGGCCGGCUCAGCAAACAAGGAGCCUUUUCACUCCUUUAAAAGGAGUUUGUUUUGUUUGUUUGAAUUUUUAAAAUUUUAAUACAGUUCAGUCAGCGGGACUGGUGGCUCGGCUCCUUCCCUGGGAACCCGGGGCAGGGCCGCCGCGCCUCUCUGCCUCCCCUUGGUCUGGGACGGCCACCGUGGAAAGGGAACUGCUCUUUCCAACUUUCAGCUUCACGUCAUCUCACUUUUUUUGCUUUUAACAGAUCUUUCCCCUGGCUGCGAGCAGGAGGUUCUCCGCUCCGUGAGCUUUGUGGCAGGUGGCGAGGAGGCAGCAGGGAGAGAGGAGGGCCCACACGUCCUGGAGUCACAAAGCAAGAAGACUGCCCAGCUACAGGAGAGGUUUCUGAAGACCCACUUCUCCACGUUUUGGGGGCGAGUUUUCACAGAAAGCUCAAGAAGUAGAUGGAGCCAGCAACCUGGUUGGGGAAGGCAAGGUUAUUGGCCGAAUCUGGCCGUUAGCAGUUCUACCCCAGGAGAACUUGGAGCUUGGGGCCCCAGUCCCCAGCGGCACGGGAGUGACAGCCCAGAGGGAACAGCAGACAUGUCGACAGCUCAACCUGCUCGGGUAAAGUUCCUGAAUUCCUGGUAGGUGCUUCCCAGAGCUCAGUAAGUAUGGCCUAUUAUUGUUACAGCAAUUGGGAAACACACUCUUAGGUCCCAGGAGAAGACGCAGGGGUGGUGGAGGGGAAGGCAGCGGGAAGAAGGGGCUAAUGUUAUUGUUCCAGGGUGGAUCAGCACUGACAAGGCUUCUAUAAAAGACGGGUGGGACAUGCUGGUUUAAGGAACGAAUGUCUCCCAAAUCCAGCCUUCUUGGGAGUCUCAUGAGGCCUGGGCCAAUGGCAUGAAAGAGCAGAGUGGUAACAGCACAGAGGACUAAGGCCAGAGAUGCAGAGGCCCGCCGCGCCUUCUCCUUAGGGGCGUUAGGAAGAGAGAUCCAGUAGGUGUGUGAGAGACACAGGAAUGGAUGGCUUUUAACUUAAGUGGAGUGAAAACAGAUUACUGCGUUGGAAAACUGCUGGGAAGCCAGCCACCAAUUAAAACACCAGAAAAGUCCUCGCUGUUGAAUGAAACUCAAGACAAGCAUACAGGGAUCUUUCUGAACCAGCUUAUGCCUUCUGAGUUCACGGCUAAACCCUCCUAAUUAGCAGUGAGAAGUCUUUGGAUAGUGGAAAGGACGCCCCCAAGACCCCCCCAGCCCCCAAAUUAAGUCAAAAUGGUGGUCACAAAAUUGGCACCUUACUGAUCACUCGCCAUUUUUUUCCUUU
This is a long non-coding RNA of Vicugna pacos (alpaca), 2572 nucleotides long. RefSeq lists it as uncharacterized. The record is from RefSeq and is a predicted model, not a curated record. Lineage: Eukaryota; Metazoa; Chordata; Mammalia; Artiodactyla; Camelidae.